GACGAACGCUGGCGGCGUGCUUAACACAUGCAAGUCGAACGGACGAGUGAGAUAAGUUUACUUAACUCACAAGUUAGUGGCGGACGGGUGAGUAACACGUGGAUAAUCUACCUGCAACACCGGGAUAACGCUGUGAAAACGGUGCUAAUACCGGAUACGUUCCCUUGUGCGCAUGUAUGAGGGAAGAAAGCUCAGGCGGUUGCAGAUGAGUCCGCGGCUGAUUAGCUAGUUGGUGAGGUAAAGGCUCACCAAGGCGAUGAUCAGUAGCCGGCCUGAGAGGGUGAACGGCCACACUGGGACUGAGACACGGCCCAGACUCCUACGGGAGGCAGCAGUGGGGAAUCUUCCGCAAUGGGCGCAAGCCUGACGGAGCAACGCCGCGUGGGUGAAGAAGGCCUCGGGUUGUAAGACCUGUCUUAUGGUAAGGAAGUCAGUGACGGUACCAUAGGAGGAAGCCGACGGCGUAACUACGUAGCCAGCAGCCGCGGUAAACGAGUAGUACGA
RNAcentral lists this ribosomal RNA (504 nucleotides) under uncultured bacterium. RNAcentral's name for it is "bacterial SSU rRNA". It matches the Rfam family "Bacterial small subunit ribosomal RNA", at positions 28 to 537 of the family's 1533-position model. The record is from RNAcentral.